This 424-nucleotide ribosomal RNA is filed under the name uncultured bacterium. RNAcentral describes it as "bacterial SSU rRNA". It matches the Rfam family "Bacterial small subunit ribosomal RNA", at positions 355 to 796 of the family's 1533-position model. The record is from RNAcentral.
UGGGGAAUAUUGGACAAUGGGCGCAAGCCUGAUCCAGCAAUGCCGCGUGAGUGAGGAAGGCCUUAGGGUUGUAAAGCUCUUUCGGCGGGGACGAUGAUGACGGUACCCGCAGAAGAAGCCCCGGCUAACUUCGUGCCAGCAGCCGCGGUAAUACGAAGGGGGCGAGCGUUGUUCGGAUUUACUGGGCGUAAAGGGCGCGCAGGCGGCGGAUCAAGUCAGGCGUGAAAGCCCCGGGCUCAACCUGGGAAUGGCGCUUGGGACUGGUUUGCUAGAGAUCGGGAGAGGAGCGUGGAAUUCCCAGUGUAGAGGUGAAAUUCGUAGAUAUUGGGAAGAACACCGGUGGCGAAGGCGGCGCUCUGGACCGAUACUGACGCUGAGGCGCGAAAGCGUGGGGAGCAAACAGGAUUAGAUACCCCCGUAGUCC